This 413-nucleotide ribosomal RNA is filed under the name uncultured bacterium. RNAcentral describes it as "bacterial SSU rRNA". It matches the Rfam family "Bacterial small subunit ribosomal RNA", at positions 505 to 916 of the family's 1533-position model. The record is from RNAcentral.
GUGCCAGCAGCCGCGGUAAAACGUAGGGGGCAAGCGUUACCCGGAAUUACUGGGCGUAAAGGGCAUGUAGGCGGCUCGGUCCGUCGUCGGUGAAAGGCCCCGGCUUAACCGGGGAGCCGCUGACGAUACCGCCGGGCUAGAGGGCAGCAGAGGUGAGCGGAAUUCCCGGCGUAGCGUUGAUAUGCGUAGAGUUCGGGAGGAACACCAGUGGCGAAGGCGGCUCACUGGGCUGUACCUGACGCUCAGGUGCGAAAGCGUGGGGAGCAAACAGGAUUAGAUACCCUGGUAGUCCACGCCCUAAACGAUGGAUACUAGGUAUGGGGGGUAUCGACCCCCUCCGUGCCGGAGCUUACGCGUUAAGUAUCCCGCCUGGGGAGUACGGCCGCAAGGCUAAAACUCAAAUGAAUUGACGG